ACACAGACUACAAAUCACCAAAUCCACAACAAACAACAACCCCGAAAAUCUCACAAUUCAGAGUCAAAUAAAAAUCUGGGUUAGAGAUUAUCCGACAACAAUCAAACCGUUGGAUGUGGAGAACCAUAUACAAAAAACAUGCUUGCAAAAUUUCAAAUCAAUCGAAGUUGAAUCACCGUUCCGAUCGAAGCCAAGAAGUUGCAACCAAAUAAAAUCUUUUUUUUUCUCUCCGGCGG
RNAcentral lists this long non-coding RNA (236 nucleotides) under Elaeis guineensis (African oil palm). Its description in RNAcentral is "long non-coding RNA (EGUI_LNC002953)". The record is from RNAcentral. Lineage: Eukaryota; Viridiplantae; Streptophyta; Magnoliopsida; Arecales; Arecaceae.